UACACUCCUACGGGAGGCAGCAGUGGGGAAUUUUGGACAAUGGGCGAAAGCCUGAUCCAGCAAUGCCGCGUGAGUGAAGAAGGCCUUCGGGUUGUAAAGCUCUUUUGUCAGGGAAGAAACGGUGAAAGCUAAUAUCUUUUGCUAAUGACGGUACCUGAAGAAUAAGCACCGGCUAACUACGUGCCAGCAGCCGCGGUAAUACGUAGGGUGCAAGCGUUAAUCGGAAUUACUGGGCGUAAAGCGUGCGCAGGCGGUUUUGUAAGUCUGAUGUGAAAUCCCCGGGCUCAACCUGGGAAUUGCAUUGGAGACUGCAAGGCUAGAAUCUGGCAGAGGGGGGUAGAAUUCCACGUGUAGCAGUGAAAUGCGUAGAUAUGUGGAGGAACACCGAUGGCGAAGGCAGCCCCCUGGGUCAAGAUUGACGCUCAUGCACGAAAGCGUGGGGAGCAAACAGGAUUAGAAACCCCAGUAGUCC
RNAcentral lists this ribosomal RNA (472 nucleotides) under uncultured organism. RNAcentral's name for it is "partial 16S ribosomal RNA". It matches the Rfam family "Bacterial small subunit ribosomal RNA", at positions 332 to 796 of the family's 1533-position model. The record is from RNAcentral.